UUAUUUCUAAUGUAUCUUUGUGAUCAAUUCUAUAUAUUUUGGUGAACAUUUAACAUUAUCACCUAUUUCUCUGCUUAUAUUAUUUAUGUUUGUGGAUCUAUGUGCUUGUAGGUAUGAAGCUUAUAACAAUUUGUUGAGAUGAUUUUGAUGUUGAUAAAGCUAUUAAGAGAAGUCUUCAUCAAUCUUGUUAUUCAAUGCUUGUUGGUUUAGAUGAUAUCAUCUCAUAUGUUGAUUCAAGUGAUGGUGCUUGAAGAUUGUUCAAGUGAUGGUGCUUGAAGAUUAACCAAGUGAUGGUACUUGAUAUGUGCACUACUAUAAAUAAUAUAUUUCAUGACGACGAUUUCACCCCACGUAUUGAAAAACUGAGGUCAAAUACCUCGAUGAACCUUAUCUUUUUAUUAAAAAAAUAUAAUAUAUUAUGUCGGUUAUUU
RNAcentral lists this long non-coding RNA (431 nucleotides) under Lathyrus oleraceus (garden pea). RNAcentral's name for it is "Pisum sativum (pea) long non-coding RNA (PSAT_LNC028650)". Lineage: Eukaryota; Viridiplantae; Streptophyta; Magnoliopsida; Fabales; Fabaceae. The record is from RNAcentral.